GAUGAAGAACGCAGCAAAAUGCGAUAAGUAAUGUGAAUUGCAGAAUUCAGUGAAUCAUCGAAUCUUUGAACGCACAUUGCGCCCGCUGGUAUUCCGGCGGGCAUGCCUGUUCGAGCGUCAUUUCAACCCUCAAGCCCCCGGGUUUGGUGUUGGGGAUCGGCUCUGCCCUUCUGGGCGGUGCCGCCCCCGAAAUACAUUGGCGGUCUCGCUGCAGCCUCCAUUGCGUAGUAGCUAACACCUCGCAACUGGAACGCGGCGCGGCCAUGCCGUAAAACCCCAACAUCUGAAUGUUGACCUCGGAUCAGGUAGGAAUACCCGCUGAACUUAAGCAUAUCAAUAAGCGGAGGA
This 348-nucleotide unclassified non-coding RNA is filed under the name soil metagenome. RNAcentral's name for it is "partial contains 5.8S ribosomal RNA, internal transcribed spacer 2, and large subunit ribosomal RNA". The stretch from base 1 to 120 matches the Rfam family "5.8S ribosomal RNA", at positions 35 to 154 of the family's 154-position model. The record is from RNAcentral.